Molecule: ribosomal RNA, 301 nt
Filed under: uncultured bacterium
Lineage: Bacteria
Description: partial 16S ribosomal RNA
Rfam family: Bacterial small subunit ribosomal RNA
Source: RNAcentral
CAGCCGCCGCGGUAAUACGAAGGGUGCAAGCGUUACUCGGAAUUACUGGGCGUAAAGCGUGCGUAGGUGGUUGUUUAAGUCUGCUGUGAAAGCCCUGGGCUCAACCUGGGAAUUGCAGUGGAUACUGGGCAACUAGAGUAAGGUAGAGGAUAGUGGAAUUUCCGGUGUAGCAGUGAAAUGCGUAGAGAUCGGAAGGAACAUCUGUGGCGAAGGCGACUAUCUGGGCCAUUACUGACACUGAGGCACGAAAGCGUGGGGAGCAAACAGGAUUAGAGACCCCGGUAGUCCCUGUCUCUUAUAC